RNAcentral lists this unclassified non-coding RNA (375 nucleotides) under uncultured bacterium. RNAcentral describes it as "contains 16S-23S intergenic spacer region". The record is from RNAcentral.
UCCGAGUUGGCCCCGGCAGUCUCCCACGAGUCCCCGGCAUGACCCGCUGGCAACAUGGGACAAGGGUUGCGCUCGUUGCGCCACUUAAGGCAACACCUCACGGCACGAGCUGACGACAGCCAUGCACCACCUGUGCAGGCUCCGUAGAGCUCCGGCUUUCACCGGCUUCACCCUGCAUGUCAAGCCCAGGUAAGGUUCUUCGCGUCGCAUCGAAUUAAACCACAUGCUCCACCGCUUGUGCGGGCCCCCGUCAAUUCCUUUGAGUUUCAGCCUUGCGGCCGUACUCCCCAGGCGGGGCACUUAAUGCGUUAGCGCCGGCACCCAGGGGGUCGCUCCCCCAGGCACCUAGUGCCCAUCGUUUACGGCGUGGACUAC